UUCGGAUCGUAAACCUCUUUUGGCAGGGAAGAACAAGUACCGUUCGAAUAUGGCGGUACCUUGACGGUACCUAACCAGAAAGCGCCGGCUAACUACGUGCCAGCAGCCGCGGUAAUACGUAGGGCGCAAGCGUUGUCCGGAAUUAUUGGGCGUAAAGAGCUCGUAGGCGGUUUGUCGCGUCUGCUGUGAAAGCCCGGGGCUCAACCCCGGGUCUGCAGUGGGUACGGGCAGAACUAGAGUGCAGUUAGAGGGAGACUGGAAUUCCUGGUGUAGCGGUGAAAUGCGCAGAUAUCAGGAGGAACACCGAUGGCGAAGGCAGGUCUCUGGGCUGUUACUGACGCUGAGGAGCGAAAGCAUGGGGGAGCGAACAGGGAUUAGAUACCCUGGGUAGUCCAUGCCCGUAAACGUUGGGCACUAGGUGUGGGGGACAUUUCCACGUUCUCCGCGCCGUAGCUAACGCAUUAAGUGCCCCGCCUGGGGAGUACGGCCGCAAGGCUAAAACUCAAAGGAAUUGACGGGGGCCCGCACAAGCGGCGGAGCAUGCGGAUUAAUUUCGAUGCAACGCGAAAGAACCUUACCAAGGCUUGACAUUCACCGGACUACCUCAGAGAUGGGGUUUCCCUUCGGGGUCGGUGGACAGGUGGUGGCAUGGGUUGUCGUCAGCUCGUGUCGUGAGAUGUUGGGUUAAGUCCCGCAACGAGCGCAACCCUCGUUCUAUGUUGCCAGCACGUGAUGGUGGGGACUCAUAGGAGACUGCCGGGGUCAACUCGGAGGAAGGUGGGGGAUGACGUCAAAUCAUCAUGCCCCUUAUGUCUUGGGCUUCACGCAUGCUACAAUGGCCGGUACAAAGGGUUGCGAUACUGUGAGGUGGAGCUAAUCCCAAAAAGCCGGUCUCAGUUCGGAUUGAGGUCUGCAACUCGACCUCAUGAAGUCGGAGUCGCUAGUAAUCGCAGAUCAGCAACGCUGCGGUGAAUACGUUCCCGGGCCUUGUACAC
This 995-nucleotide ribosomal RNA is filed under the name Kocuria turfanensis. Its description in RNAcentral is "bacterial SSU rRNA". It matches the Rfam family "Bacterial small subunit ribosomal RNA", at positions 417 to 1388 of the family's 1533-position model. The record is from RNAcentral. Lineage: Bacteria; Bacillati; Actinomycetota; Actinomycetes; Micrococcales; Micrococcaceae.